Molecule: ribosomal RNA, 254 nt
Filed under: uncultured bacterium
Lineage: Bacteria
Description: partial 16S ribosomal RNA
Rfam family: Bacterial small subunit ribosomal RNA
Source: RNAcentral
UACGGGGGGAGCAAGCGUUGUUCGGAUUUACUGGGCGUAAAGGGCGCGUAGGCGGUCAGCACAAGUCAGUUAUGAAAUCUCCGGGCUUAACUCGGAAAGGUCAACUGAUACUGUGCGACUAGAGUGCAGAAGGGGCAACUGGAAUUCUCGGUGUAGCGGUGAAAUGCGUAGAUAUCGAGAGGAACACCUGCGGCGAAGGCGGGUUGCUGGGCUGACACUGACGCUGAUGCGCGAAAGCCAGGGGAGCGAACGGG